AUUGAACGCUGGCGGCAUGCUUUACACAUGCAAGUCGAACGGUAACAGGCCGCAAGGUGCUGGCGAGUGGCGCACGGGUGCGUAAUGCAUCGGAACGUGCCCAGUCGUGGGGGAUAACUACUCGAAAGAGUAGCUAAUACCGCAUACGAUCUAUGGAUGAAAGCGGGGGACCGUAAGGCCUCGCGCGAUUGGAGCGGCCGAUGUCAGAUUAGGUAGUUGGUGGGGUAAAGGCUCACCAAGCCAACGAUCUGUAGCUGGUCUGAGAGGACGACCAGCCACACUGGGACUGAGACACGGCCCAGACUCCUACGGGAGGCAGCAGUGGGGAAUUUUGGACAAUGGGCGCAAGCCUGAUCCAGCAAUGCCGCGUGCAGGAAGAAGGCCUUCGGGUUGUAAACUGCUUUUGUACGGAACGAAACGGCUCUGGUUAAUACCCGGGGCUAAUGACGGUACCGAAAGAAUAAGCACCGGCUAACUACGUG
Molecule: ribosomal RNA, 482 nt
Filed under: uncultured bacterium
Lineage: Bacteria
Description: partial 16S ribosomal RNA
Rfam family: Bacterial small subunit ribosomal RNA
Source: RNAcentral